CAGUAGCCACGGGAAUACGAAGGGGGCUAGCGUUGUCCGGAAUUAUUGGGCGUAAAGCGCGCGCAGGCGGAUAGGUCAGUCUGUCUUAAAAGUUCGGGGCUUAACCCCGUGAUGGGAUGGAAACUGCCAAUCUAGAGUAUCGGAGAGGAAAGUGGAAUUCCUAGUGUAGCGGUGAAAUGCGCAGAGAUUAGGAGGAACACCAGUGGCGAAGGCGGCUUUUUGGCCUGUAACUGACACUGAGGCGCGAAAGCGUGGGGAGCAAACAGGAUUAGAUACCCCAGUAGUCCCUGUCUCUUAUACC
Molecule: ribosomal RNA, 301 nt
Filed under: uncultured bacterium
Lineage: Bacteria
Description: partial 16S ribosomal RNA
Rfam family: Bacterial small subunit ribosomal RNA
Source: RNAcentral